UACGAAGGUGGCAAGCGUUGUUCGGAUUUACUGGGCGUACAGGGAGCGUAGGCGGUUGGAUAAGCCCUCCGUGAAAUCUCCAGGCUUAACCUGGAAAGUGCAGAGGGGACUGUUCAGCUAGAGGAUGGGAGAGGAGCGCGGAAUUCCCGGUGUAGCGGUGAAAUGCGUAGAUAUCUGGAGGAAUACCGGUGGCGAAGGCGGCAUCCUGGACCAUUUACUGACGCUGAGGCGCGAAAGCUAGGGGAGCAAACGGG
Molecule: ribosomal RNA, 254 nt
Filed under: uncultured bacterium
Lineage: Bacteria
Description: partial 16S ribosomal RNA
Rfam family: Bacterial small subunit ribosomal RNA
Source: RNAcentral